CGGUUAUUUGUGUUUUAAAUGCACGUAUUUGUAAACAGAGCAAUUAGUCUAUGCAUUGAAACAUAGCAGUCAUGGCAAUUUUGUACGUGUGGGAAGCAUGUGGAGGUAGUGUUGGGCAUUGUUCACUGCUACUCGACAAUGGUACAUACAUCAGUUGGUGGCCAAAGGAAAAUAAAAGCAAAUUUAAAAAGAAGAAGAAAAAGGUUACAGCACACGGACACCUGCCUGACAAUUAUGAAGAAGAUGUAGAAGGAAUGGGACGUUAUGCCAGUCAAAGUUUUCAUAUUUCAAGUGA
Long non-coding RNA from Mytilus trossulus (common blue mussel), 295 nucleotides. RefSeq lists it as uncharacterized. Lineage: Eukaryota; Metazoa; Mollusca; Bivalvia; Mytilida; Mytilidae. The record is from RefSeq and is a predicted model, not a curated record. The transcript has 3 exons.